RNAcentral lists this transfer RNA (77 nucleotides) under Caulobacter sp. Its description in RNAcentral is "tRNA-Arg". It matches the Rfam family "tRNA". Rfam says of the family: Transfer RNA (tRNA) molecules are approximately 80 nucleotides in length. Lineage: Bacteria; Pseudomonadati; Pseudomonadota; Alphaproteobacteria; Caulobacterales; Caulobacteraceae. RNAcentral also lists the same sequence under 23 other names. The record is from RNAcentral.
GGCCCAGUAGCUCAGCAGGAUAGAGCAGCGCUUUCCUAAAGCGAAGGUCGGGGGUUCGAGUCCCUCCUGGGCCGCCA